This is a non-coding RNA of Prunus avium (sweet cherry), 1279 nucleotides long. NCBI's taxonomy places the organism in Eukaryota, Viridiplantae, Streptophyta, Magnoliopsida, Rosales, Rosaceae. The record is from RefSeq and is a predicted model, not a curated record.
UUUUUGUAUUUUUUAUUUCUAUGUUGAGCCUUCUUAUUGCAAAUUUAAUCCUUGAUGGUAUUGCUGGCUAAAAUUGUAAGGCACGAUCAUUGCAAAAUGAUUUAGACACAUGCAUCUAUUUGUAGUCACAAAAGUUGUCCUUCCCUGCCACUUUUUUUCUUUUAAAUCUCUUAUGCACUGUUUCCUUUCUAUCCUUAUAUUAAUAUCUUUUCACUAUUUCCAAAUAAACAAGAAAGGUCAGACAUGUAGUGCAAUUUUGUUACUUCGUGAUUCUCAUAAAUCUUGUAUUGAUCGGUAAUGGUUUUCCUUAAGUAUUAUUAGGCUUGAUUGAUAAUUCUCAUGCUUUACAAUUUGUCUGAUGGCUCGUCGGCACCCAGCCCCUCCAACGACGCCAUCCAUUUCCCUGAUCAAAUCCCAGUUCUCCACCCAUCUAUCUUCAUAACCCAGUUCUCCUCCAAAUUCCUCCCUUCCCUCAAUCAAACAACCAUAACUGCUUGAAGAAGAUACUUUUAUGAGUUUUUUUGUGUGUUAAUUUUCUCUGAUUUUCUAUAUAUGUUUGUGAGUAUUUUUUGUUGUGGGUUCCAAGUUUUAAAUUUGCUAUGAUUUUUCUAGAUAUGUGUUUGGUUUUUGGGAAUUUUGAUUCUGCUGUUUUUUUUUUUGGGGGGUGGGGGGGAUUUGGUGAGUUCAGAAUUUGGUCUUGUUUGCACAGGGCUGAUUUUGGCAUGAGUUGGGGCUGUAAUUUCAACUUAGGAUUGUGGUUUAGGGUUUCUAAGAAAUGGAUUUAAGCUUGUGGUUGUUGAUUCCUUUUUUCAAGAAAUUAACAAUUCAAGCUUGCCAUGGUUGCUGACAGAAACAAAUGCUAAGCCUGGAGGGAUCAGGGAUCGAACUUCAUUGGCCAUCUACAAAUGCUAAGCUUGGGCACCCUGAAAAGUGGAAGCCAGUUGCUGUGAAGACACUUUCUGCUCGGUCGAAGCAGGGGAGUCUCUGAAUUCUUAAAUGAGAUUAUUGCUAUAUCAAAUGUCAGGCAUCCAAACCUUGUUGAGUUGAUUGGGUGUUGUGUUCAAGGAGCUAAUUCUGGCCUUAUAUUUUGUAUCAGACAUACCAUGUAAUUAUCUAGUCCUCGUUGAAUGAAAUUGAGCACAAUUAUUUAGUUCCCCAUUGUUGAGGAAAAAUUACUAUAAAAUCUUUAUUUUUUGGUGUAGGGGUGUAAGAAUGCGAUUCCAGAGCGUCUUGUUCUUUUUUAAAGAGAUCACGUUAUAUACAUUCUGUAUUGCUUGUA